RNAcentral lists this long non-coding RNA (278 nucleotides) under Trifolium pratense (red clover). RNAcentral describes it as "long non-coding RNA (TPRA_LNC006388)". Lineage: Eukaryota; Viridiplantae; Streptophyta; Magnoliopsida; Fabales; Fabaceae. The record is from RNAcentral.
AACUAACGCCAAAUCUGCGCACAUACAAAGUCCUCCCUCUGUGACUCUUUCAAAGUAGUACUACUAGUAAAUGAUUACAGUAAGAUAAUUAAAAAUUCAGAGCCUACCUCUCAAGAAAACAUUGACUCAAUUAAAAAAUUACUGUACUGUAGUACUAGUAGCUAGUUAGGGAUUGCAUUACAAAUUUGGGUACCUCGUGAAAAUCUUGAAAGCUAAGAUUGUUUAGUGUGAUUGAUUUUGUGCCCUUAUCUACCAUAAAAAUAAAACCAUAUCAGNNN